RNAcentral lists this ribosomal RNA (670 nucleotides) under Streptomyces sp. RNAcentral's name for it is "bacterial SSU rRNA". It matches the Rfam family "Bacterial small subunit ribosomal RNA", at positions 193 to 876 of the family's 1533-position model. Lineage: Bacteria; Bacillati; Actinomycetota; Actinomycetes; Kitasatosporales; Streptomycetaceae. The record is from RNAcentral.
AAGCUGGUUAAAAGCUCCGGCGGUGAAGGAUGAGCCCGCGGCCUAUCAGCUUGUUGGUGGGGUAAUGGCCUACCAAGGCGACGACGGGUAGCCGGCCUGAGAGGGCGACCGGCCACACUGGGACUGAGACACGGCCCAGACUCCUACGGGAGGCAGCAGUGGGGAAUAUUGCACAAUGGGCGAAAGCCUGAUGCAGCGACGCCGCGUGAGGGAUGACGGCCUUCGGGUUGUAAACCUCUUUCAGCAGGGAAGAAGCGAAAGUGACGGUACCUGCAGAAGAAGCGCCGGCUAACUACGUGCCAGCAGCCGCGGUAAUACGUAGGGCGCAAGCGUUGUCCGGAAUUAUUGGGCGUAAAGAGCUCGUAGGCGGCUUGUCACGUCGAGUGUGAAAGCUCGGGGCUUAACCCCGAGUCUGCAUCCGAUACGGGCUAGCUAGAGUGUGGUAGGGGAGAUCGGAAUUCCUGGUGUAGCGGUGAAAUGCGCAGAUAUCAGGAGGAACACCGGUGGCGAAGGCGGAUCUCUGGGCCAUUACUGACGCUGAGGAGCGAAAGCGUGGGGAGCGAACAGGAUUAGAUACCCUGGUAGUCCACGCCGUAAACGUUGGGAACUAGGUGUUGGCGACAUUCCACGUCGUCCGUGCCGCAGCUAACGCAUUAAGUUCCCCGCCUGG